Molecule: ribosomal RNA, 429 nt
Filed under: bacterium
Lineage: Bacteria
Description: partial 16S ribosomal RNA
Rfam family: Bacterial small subunit ribosomal RNA
Source: RNAcentral
UAGGGAAUCUUCGGCAAUGGGGGCAACCCUGACCGAGCAACGCCGCGUGAGUGAAGAAGGUUUUCGGAUCGUAAAGCUCUGUUGUAAGUCAAGAACGGGUGUGAGAGUGGAAAGUUCACACUGUGACGGUAGCUUACCAGAAAGGGACGGCUAACUACGUGCCAGCAGCCGCGGUAAUACGUAGGUCCCGAGCGUUGUCCGGAUUUAUUGGGCGUAAAGCGAGCGCAGGCGGUUUGAUAAGUCUGAAGUUAAAGGCUGUGGCUCAACCAUAGUUCGCUUUGGAAACUGUCAAACUUGAGAGCAGAAGGGGAGAGUGGAAUUCCAUGUGUAGCGGUGAAAUGCGUAGAUAUAUGGAGGAACACCGGUGGCGAAAGCGGCUCUCUGGACUGUAACUGACGCUGAGGCUCGAAAGCGUGGGGAGCGAACAGG